CAGCAGCCGCGGGAAUACGUAGGUGGCAAGCGUUGUCCGGAAUUAUUGGGCGUAAAGGGCUCGCAGGCGGUUUCUUAAGUCUGAUGUGAAAGCCCCCGGCUCAACCGGGGAGGGUCAUUGGAAACUGGGAAACUUGAGUGCAGAAGAGGAGAGUGGAAUUCCACGUGUAGCGGUGAAAUGCGUAGAGAUGUGGAGGAACACCAGUGGCGAAGGCGACUCUCUGGUCUGUAACUGACGCUGAGGCUCGAAAGCGUGGGGAGCAAACAGGAUUAGAUACCCGUGUAGCCCUGUCUCUUAUACA
Molecule: ribosomal RNA, 301 nt
Filed under: uncultured bacterium
Lineage: Bacteria
Description: partial 16S ribosomal RNA
Rfam family: Bacterial small subunit ribosomal RNA
Source: RNAcentral